RNAcentral lists this ribosomal RNA (402 nucleotides) under uncultured bacterium. Its description in RNAcentral is "bacterial SSU rRNA". It matches the Rfam family "Bacterial small subunit ribosomal RNA", at positions 32 to 414 of the family's 1533-position model. The record is from RNAcentral.
AAUCAACGCUGGCGGCGUGCCUCAGACAUGCAAGUCGAACGCGAAAGUUCCCUUCGGGGGAUGAGUAGAGUGGCGCACGGGUGAGUAACACGUAGGUAAUCUACCUUCGGAUGGGGAAUAACAACCGGAAACGGUUGCUAAUACCGCAUAAUGCAGCGGCACCUAAUGGUGACAGUUGUUAAAGCGGGGGAUCGAAAGACCUCGCGUCUGAAGAGGAGCCUGCGGCGGAUUAGCAGUUGGUAAGGUAAUGGCUUACCAAGGCGACGAUCCGUAGCCGGCCUGAGAGGGCGGUCGGCCACACUGACACUGACAUACGGGUCAGACUCCUACGGGAGGCAGUAGUCGGGAAUUUUGGGCAAUGGGCGAAAGCCUGACCCAGCAACGCCGCGUGAAGGAUGAAAU